RNAcentral lists this ribosomal RNA (1550 nucleotides) under Klebsiella pneumoniae. RNAcentral describes it as "bacterial SSU rRNA". It matches the Rfam family "Bacterial small subunit ribosomal RNA". RNAcentral also lists the same sequence under 1 other name. The record is from RNAcentral. Lineage: Bacteria; Pseudomonadati; Pseudomonadota; Gammaproteobacteria; Enterobacterales; Enterobacteriaceae.
AAAUUGAAGAGUUUGAUCAUGGCUCAGAUUGAACGCUGGCGGCAGGCCUAACACAUGCAAGUCGAGCGGUAGCACAGAGAGCUUGCUCUCGGGUGACGAGCGGCGGACGGGUGAGUAAUGUCUGGGAAACUGCCUGAUGGAGGGGGAUAACUACUGGAAACGGUAGCUAAUACCGCAUAAUGUCGCAAGACCAAAGUGGGGGACCUUCGGGCCUCAUGCCAUCAGAUGUGCCCAGAUGGGAUUAGCUAGUAGGUGGGGUAACGGCUCACCUAGGCGACGAUCCCUAGCUGGUCUGAGAGGAUGACCAGCCACACUGGAACUGAGACACGGUCCAGACUCCUACGGGAGGCAGCAGUGGGGAAUAUUGCACAAUGGGCGCAAGCCUGAUGCAGCCAUGCCGCGUGUGUGAAGAAGGCCUUCGGGUUGUAAAGCACUUUCAGCGGGGAGGAAGGCGGUGAGGUUAAUAACCUCAUCGAUUGACGUUACCCGCAGAAGAAGCACCGGCUAACUCCGUGCCAGCAGCCGCGGUAAUACGGAGGGUGCAAGCGUUAAUCGGAAUUACUGGGCGUAAAGCGCACGCAGGCGGUCUGUCAAGUCGGAUGUGAAAUCCCCGGGCUUAACCUGGGAACUGCAUUCGAAACUGGCAGGCUAGAGUCUUGUAGAGGGGGGUAGAAUUCCAGGUGUAGCGGUGAAAUGCGUAGAGAUCUGGAGGAAUACCGGUGGCGAAGGCGGCCCCCUGGACAAAGACUGACGCUCAGGUGCGAAAGCGUGGGGAGCAAACAGGAUUAGAUACCCUGGUAGUCCACGCCGUAAACGAUGUCGAUUUGGAGGUUGUGCCCUUGAGGCGUGGCUUCCGGAGCUAACGCGUUAAAUCGACCGCCUGGGGAGUACGGCCGCAAGGUUAAAACUCAAAUGAAUUGACGGGGGCCCGCACAAGCGGUGGAGCAUGUGGUUUAAUUCGAUGCAACGCGAAGAACCUUACCUGGUCUUGACAUCCACAGAACUUUCCAGAGAUGGAUUGGUGCCUUCGGGAACUGUGAGACAGGUGCUGCAUGGCUGUCGUCAGCUCGUGUUGUGAAAUGUUGGGUUAAGUCCCGCAACGAGCGCAACCCUUAUCCUUUGUUGCCAGCGGUCCGGCCGGGAACUCAAAGGAGACUGCCAGUGAUAAACUGGAGGAAGGUGGGGAUGACGUCAAGUCAUCAUGGCCCUUACGACCAGGGCUACACACGUGCUACAAUGGCAUAUACAAAGAGAAGCGACCUCGCGAGAGCAAGCGGACCUCAUAAAGUAUGUCGUAGUCCGGAUUGGAGUCUGCAACUCGACUCCAUGAAGUCGGAAUCGCUAGUAAUCGUAGAUCAGAAUGCUACGGUGAAUACGUUCCCGGGCCUUGUACACACCGCCCGUCACACCAUGGGAGUGGGUUGCAAAAGAAGUAGGUAGCUUAACCUUCGGGAGGGCGCUUACCACUUUGUGAUUCAUGACUGGGGUGAAGUCGUAACAAGGUAACCGUAGGGGAACCUGCGGUUGGAUCACCUCCUUACCUUAAAGAA